RNAcentral lists this ribosomal RNA (463 nucleotides) under Vreelandella stevensii. RNAcentral's name for it is "partial 16S ribosomal RNA". It matches the Rfam family "Bacterial small subunit ribosomal RNA", at positions 338 to 795 of the family's 1533-position model. The record is from RNAcentral. Lineage: Bacteria; Pseudomonadati; Pseudomonadota; Gammaproteobacteria; Oceanospirillales; Halomonadaceae.
CCUACGGGUGGCAGCAGUGGGGAAUAUUGGACAAUGGGCGAAAGCCUGAUCCAGCCAUGCCGCGUGUGUGAAGAAGGCCUUCGGGUUGUAAAGCACUUUCAGUGGGGAAGAAAGCCUUGGGGCUAAUACCCUCGAGGAAGGACAUCACCCACAGAAGAAGCACCGGCUAACUCCGUGCCAGCAGCCGCGGUAAUAGGAGGGUGCGAGCGUUAAUCGGAAUUACUGGGCGUAAAGCGCGCGUAGGCGGUCUGAUAAGCCGGUUGUGAAAGCCCCGGGCUCAACCUGGGAACGGCAUCCGGAACUGUCAGGCUAGGGUGCAGGAGAGGAAGGUAGAAUUCCCGGUGUAGCGGUGAAAUGCGUAGAGAUCGGGAGGAAUACCUGUGGCGAAGGCGGCCUUCUGGACUGACACUGACGCUGAGGUGCGAAAGCGUGGGUAGCAAACAGGAUUAGAUACCCGGUAGUC